This 302-nucleotide ribosomal RNA is filed under the name uncultured bacterium. RNAcentral describes it as "partial 16S ribosomal RNA". It matches the Rfam family "Bacterial small subunit ribosomal RNA", at positions 508 to 809 of the family's 1533-position model. The record is from RNAcentral.
GCAGUAGCCGCGGUAAUACGAAGGGUGCAAGCGUUACUCGGAAUUACUGGGCGUAAAGCGUGCGUAGGUGGUGGUUUAAGUCCGUUGUGAAAGCCCUGGGCUCAACCUGGGAAUUGCAGUGGAUACUGGGUCACUAGAGUGUGGUAGAGGAUAGUGGAAUUUCCGGUGUAGCAGUGAAAUGCGUAGAGAUCGGAAGGAACAUCUGUGGCGAAGGCGACUAUCUGGGCCAACACUGACACUGAGGCACGAAAGCGUGGGGAGCAAACAGGAUUAGAUACCCCAGUAGUCCCUGUCUCUUAUAA